This 253-nucleotide ribosomal RNA is filed under the name uncultured bacterium. RNAcentral's name for it is "partial 16S ribosomal RNA". It matches the Rfam family "Bacterial small subunit ribosomal RNA", at positions 524 to 776 of the family's 1533-position model. The record is from RNAcentral.
UACGAAGGGGGCUAGCGUUGUUCGGAUUUACUGGGCGUAAAGCGCACGUAGGCGGAUCGUUAAGUCGGGGGUGAAAUCCUGGAGCUCAACUCCAGAACUGCCUUCGAUACUGGCGAUCUUGAGUCCGGAAGAGGUGAGUGGAACUCCUAGUGUAGAGGUGGAAUUCGUAAAUAUUAGGAAGAACACCAGUGGCGAAGGCGGCUCACUGGUCCGGUACUGACGCUGAGGUGCGAAAGCGUGGGGAGCAAACAGG